AUGUCGUCCACGCCGCCGGCCGUCGCGUCCCCCGCCUCCGAGCACACCAAAUCUAAGAAAAAGAAGAGCAAAUCCAAGGACGCCUCCGCCGACCCCGCCGCCGAUACCACAUCGCUGGCGGACGCCGAGGCCAAGACUGAUGGCUAUAUGAUCAAGCCCCAGGCCCUGGUUCCGUCCCUCGACACCUCCACCUGGCCGCUCCUCCUCAAGAACUACGACCGCCUCAACGUCCGCACCGGCCACUACACCCCGCUCCCCUCCGGCCACUCGCCGCUCAAGCGCCCCCUCGCCGAGUACCUCCGCUACGGCGUCAUCAACCUCGACAAGCCGUCCAACCCCUCCUCCCACGAGGUGGUGGCGUGGAUCAAGCGCCUCCUCCGCGUCGAGAAGACCGGCCACAGCGGCACGCUCGACCCCAAGGUCACCGGCAACCUCAUCGUCUGCGUCGACCGCGCCACACGCCUCGUCAAGUCGCAGCAGGGCGCAGGUAAGGAGUAUGUGUGCAUCGCCCGCUUCCACGCCGCCGUCCCAGACACGGCCCGGGUCGCUCGCGCGCUCGAGUCCCUUACCGGCGCUGUGUUCCAGCGCCCGCCGCUCAUCUCGGCGGUCAAGCGCCAGCUCAGGGUGCGCACCAUUUAUGAGAGCAAGCUGCUGGAGCAUGACGCCGAGCGCCACCUUGCUGUGUUCUGGAUCUCCUGCGAGGCUGGAACCUAUGUCCGGACGCUCUGCGUGCACCUUGGGCUGCUCCUGGGUGUCGGUGCGCAUAUGCAGGAGCUGCGCCGUGUCCGGUCAGGUAUCCUCGGAGAGCAGGACAACAUGGUCACCAUGCACGAUGUGAUGGAUGCCAUGUGGGCGCUUGACAACCACAAGGAUGAGUCUUACAUAAGGCGUGUGGUGAUGCCGCUUGAGGUAAUUCUUACCAGUUACAAGAGGCUUGUUGUGAAGGACUCUGCUGUUAAUGCUAUCUGCUAUGGUGCCAAGCUUAUGAUUCCUGGGUUGCUCCGGUUUGAGAAUGACAUUGAUGUUGGAGAGGAGGUUGUUCUCAUGACUACAAAGGGGGAGGCGAUUGCCAUUGGUAUCGCUGAGAUGCCCACUGCUGUUAUGGCGACUUGUGACCAUGGUGCUGUGGCGAAGAUCAAGAGGGUGGUGAUGGACAGGGACACAUACCCAAGGAAGUGGGGGCUUGGUCCAGUGGCACUCAAGAAGAAGAAGAUGAUUGCUGAGGGCCUCCUUGAUAAGCAUGGGAAGCCAACUGAGAAGACCCCAGCUGAGUGGCUUCGGAAUGUGGUGCUUCCUACUGGUGGUGAUGCGAUGAUUGCUAGCCUUGCAGCUGCUCCUGAGCCCGAGAAGGUGAAGGUGGAAGGACAGGAUGUGGUGCCAAGUGAGGAGGUCAAGGAGAAGAAGAAAAAGAGGAAGACUGAUGAGGAUGAUGUAACUGCUUCUACACCUGCAAAGAAGAUGAAGGUGGAGGAGGUCACUGAGGCAGUGGAAGGGGAGAAGAGUGAGAAGAAGAAGAAAAAAAAGAAAGACAAGGGAGAACCAGGAUCAGCUGUUUCGGAGGCAGUGAAGGAGGAGAAGAGCAGUCUGUCUGAUGAGGAGAAGGGUGCCAGCGAGAAGAAAAAGAAGAAGAAGAGCAAGGAAGACGGUGAUGAUGUCGCUCCAAAGAGCGUGGAAGUUGAGAAGAGCGAGAAGAAAAAGGACAAGAAGAAGAAGAGCAAGGAAGGCGGUGAUGAUGUCGCUACAGAGAGUGAAGUUGAGAAGAGCGAGAAGAAAAAGGAGAAGAAAAAGAAGAAAGACGCAGAGGAGGCGACACAAUAG
Molecule: ribosomal RNA, 1818 nt
Filed under: Triticum aestivum (bread wheat)
Lineage: Eukaryota; Viridiplantae; Streptophyta; Magnoliopsida; Poales; Poaceae
Description: partial small subunit ribosomal RNA
Source: RNAcentral